Molecule: ribosomal RNA, 473 nt
Filed under: uncultured bacterium
Lineage: Bacteria
Description: partial 16S ribosomal RNA
Rfam family: Bacterial small subunit ribosomal RNA
Source: RNAcentral
GACGAACGCUGGCGGCGUGCUUAACACAUGCAAGUCGAACGGUAAGGCCCUUCGGGGUACACGAGUGGCGAACGGGUGAGUAACACGUGGGUGAUCUGCCCUGCACUUCGGGAUAAGCCUGGGAAACUGGGUCUAAUACCGGAUAGGACCACUGCCUGCAUGGGUGGUGGUGGAAAGCUUUUGCGGUGUGGGAUGGGCCCGCGGCCUAUCAGCUUGUUGGUGGGGUGAUGGCCUACCAAGGCGACGACGGGUAGCCGGCCUGAGAGGGUGACCGGCCACACUGGGACUGAGAUACGGCCCAGACUCCUACGGGAGGCAGCAGUGGGGAAUAUUGCACAAUGGGCGCAAGCCUGACGCAGCAACGCCGCGUGGGGGACGAAGGCUCUCGGGUUGUAAACCCCUUUCGACAGGAACGAAACUGACGGUACCUGGAGAAGAAGCCCCGGCUAACUACGUGCCAGCCGCCGCAGUAA